Molecule: long non-coding RNA, 203 nt
Organism: Corvus hawaiiensis (hawaiian crow)
Lineage: Eukaryota; Metazoa; Chordata; Aves; Passeriformes; Corvidae
Exons: 4
Source: RefSeq, a predicted model, not a curated record
GGCUCUAUGGGGUUCUAUGGGGCUCCAGAAGGUUCUAUGAGGCGCUGUGGGGGUCUAUGGGAUCCCAUUGGGUUCUGUGGAGAUCUAGAAGGUUCUAUGGAGUUCUAUGGGGUUCUGUGGGGGUCUAUGGGGCACUGUGGGGUCCUAUGGUGCACUAGAAGAUUCUGUGGGGUCCCAUUGGGUUCUGUGGGGCUCUAUGGGGU